This 3556-nucleotide long non-coding RNA is filed under the name Medicago truncatula (barrel medic). Its description in RNAcentral is "long non-coding RNA (MTRU_LNC001405)". The record is from RNAcentral. Lineage: Eukaryota; Viridiplantae; Streptophyta; Magnoliopsida; Fabales; Fabaceae.
GGCAUUCCUCAUUAUGCUAUACGGCAUUGCAGAGUCUUCUGAAAAAAUGCUUAAACUUCUUAAAGAUUUCUCUUUUAUACAUGUGAGUAAAGAUGUGGUGUGUGGUGUAUGACAUCUAGAAAGACAAAGGAAGUCCCCAAAAAAAUCUAUCUUUUGAAAUGUUGCACAUGGAUAAUUUUUUGAUAACCGCGGAUGAUUAUAUGGAUAUACCUGGGUUCCUAUGUUGAAAAGAAAAUUUCUGGAGCAGUCCUUGAUGCACAAUUUUAUUGCAUAUGCUGUGAAGUAACAUAAUGCAGUAAUAAAAAUAAUAAGAACAAAGAAUGGACUAGCUUUGCGACCACUCUCUUCCGAUUCUUCCCGAGGGUAAAAGUUUUAUUGAACAACAUAUGCAGUAUGCUAUAGCUUUACGAUUUCUUUUAUUUUUUCGUUUGAAGAGGCCAAAAGGCAAAAGUUUUAUUGGACAACUUAGGCACAGGUAAUGUCUAUUCUAUAGCAUACUGCAUAUGUUGUUCAAAACCAUAACUGAUUCCAAUGCAUUCCCAAUAUAAGUUUUUUUUUUUUUGGAGAGAAAUUAACAACAAAUAACUAAAACUAAUAAGAAAGCAAAACAUGGGUAUAAUCAUUCCCUAUAACAUUCCCGGGAAUACAUGGCUAGGGAAUGAUUAUACCCAUGUUUGUUAUGAGGUUGAGAAAAAAAUAUUCCUAGGUAUAAGGGUUCUUGGGAAUAGAGUAACUUCCCAUAACUUCCAUUAUUCCCAUAAAUUUAUUCUCAGAUUUAAAAAAAAAAAUUGUAACUUCCAAUUUUUUCAGGAAUGUCAAGUUAUUUGCCAAACACUUUUUUUAACAAAUACCCAAGAAUCAAAUUUUCAUAUUUUCAUUCCCGGGUAUGUUAUUCCUAGGAAUAAUUUGUGUUUCCCAAAAACAAACGCCAAAUUGAGACAAUCAAUUAAGUUAAGGGACCGAGUGAUUGAAUAAGCCAAAAAAAUAUGAAUUCUACAUACGAGUUUACUUUAAAGAAGGGACCAAAAGUGAAGAUGGAAAAUUUUGUAGGACUAGAAGUUGAAGAAAUUUUUUAGAGGGACUAAAACGAAAAGUUGACAUAUUUAUAGAAACAAAAAACAUAUUUAACCCUAAUUUAAAAAAAAGAGUUAAAGUAGUGUGAGAGUGAGAAGUUAUGAGUGGUUACCUCUUAUUCCCAUGAGAAUAAAAGAUUCUCAUACUUUAACAUGGGAAUAACAAGUGGAAAAGUCAUGUGUAAAUUUUAUUCCUGGGAAUAAAACGUACGUAGGCAUAAUUUAUGAAAACUUGAAAUAAACAUGGGAACCAAGGAUUUUCAAUGUCACAUUUCUGGGAAUAAAUUUGCAAUCCAUCAAACAAACACCCCUUUAAAAUAUGAAAGCCUAGAAAGUAAACAGUGAGAUUACUUAGUCUUCUCGAGGGUGAACAACCUUUUAGCCCUAUAUUCGUUGGAGCUUUAUUUUGGUAUAUGGUUUUAACGUAACUCAUGCAUCCUCUUGAUAUCUUUUAAAUAAAAUUUUAUCAUUCACAAUAUCAUAACAAUCUAUGUAAAAAAUUUAUAAUUUCUUUUUAAUAAAAAAUAAAUUAAAUAUAAAUUUUUAAACACUAAGAAUUUAUAAAUUCAUAUUUAAUUCAUUCCUUGUUAAAAGAGAAUUAAACUUCCACAAUAUAAAUUUUUACAAUGUGCUGUUGAAAAAAAUAAUUCAAUUUUUUUUAUAGAAAUAAUGAGUUUAUUUAUUUAAAAACAACAUCAACCAAAAGUUCGAGAAACCUCUUUCUCUCUCCAACAAGCCGGCCCUAGUUUUUUCUCUCUAGGUUUUCUCUUCUAGUUUCUUUAUUGAGGGGUGAUUUUGGGUUGAUUUUUGACCUGAAAUAACUCAUCAUCAUCUUUUUAUAGUCUAUUUCAAUCUAAAUAAGUGAUUUUCACAUAGAUCUAGGUUUUUUUCUUCGUGAUUUCGUCAUGAGUGUGGUGGUGUGUUGUUCGUCGUCUUGUGCGGCGUAGUUUGAUUUCCCGUCUUGUUGCGGUGUUUAUUUGAUUCAUAUUGAAAGAUUCGAUUAUUCAAUCAAAGAAUUGGGCGUCAACGUUGCAGAUCUGGAGCAUGGGUAUUGUUAUAUGCUAUUAAAUGGGGUGUUGUGAGUUUGUUCGCAAAUUCAUUCUUUAUUUUUUUAGCGGCGUUGAAUGGUGUACUCCAUCGAUUUUAAUGAAUAAAUAUCGUUUUGUUUUUGUAAAAAAAAAUCCGAGAAACAUUUGGAUCAAAACAAUGAAAAAAAUUAUAGGAUUUGAGAUAUUUAUUAUAUGAGCAAUGCUAUAUAUCAAGAAAGAUUUUAUCAAGAAAAUUUCAAGAAUGAAAUGGCAGAAUAAUCACCCUUAGAUUUUAUCAAGAAAUAAUCAUGAAAUUAAUGUUAAUCAAUAAAAUCUCAGUCUGGCCGGAAAUCAUGGAGUGGUGGGUGUUAUGUAUUUUUUUUUUAUGAAAGAUUAAUAAAUGAGACUGAAAUCUAAAGGUGAUUAUUGUGCUAUGUCAUUUUUGAAUCUUUCUUAUAAAAUCAUUCUUGAUAUCUAACAUUUUCCUUAUUAUAUUUAAAAGCUAGGACACAUUUUGACAAAGAAGAAUGUGCCCUAGAUAUUUUUUUUUUUUUGGGUAAAUCUUCUUUGGCACAUUUUCCUUAUUAUAUUUAAAAUCAUGGGAGUGAAUGAAUGAGUUGGGUGAGAGAGCGAGUCCGUAACAAUGGCGGCAGCAACAACAAAAAAAGAAGUGAGUUCAGAUUUACCAGAGGAGUUAUGGGAACACAUCUUCAAAUUCCUCAACGACAACAAAAGCCACUACUUCAAAUCUCUCUCGCUAGUCUCCAAACAUUUUCUCUCCAUCUCCAACUGUCUCCUACGUGACCUAAAAGUCUAUGAUCAUACCCUCCAUCACCUCUUCCAAAGGUUCCCUAACCUCACAUCCCUCGAUCUUAGCAUCGUCUCCAAAAGAGUUGACUUCUACACAAUUCUUACCCAAAUCUCCACUUUCCCUUUUACCGAAUGAAUCUUAUGUGCAGGACUAAAAUCUUCUUUAUUGUUGAUUGUUUCCCUUUACUCGAAGAACUCAACCUCACUUAUCCCGAUUCGGCUAUGGUCUUUGAUUUUGCGCGAGAUGAUGAUAUUGAUCGAUUGUUGGAACUUUCCAAACUCUACAAGAUUAUCAUUUCUCGUAUUAUUGCAUCUAUCGCGAAUCUAUUAACCAUAUCUACAAGAUUUCCAGAGAAGAAUAACUUAGAUGAUAAUGAUAGUUACUUAAAAUUGUAAACGUGUCAAUUAUUGCAGUAUUUUAAUUUCGAGUUUGUUUUUGUCUAUUUACAAAUUUUGGUGGUUCACUUGUUUAAACACUUAGCAUAAUGUAUUGUUAUGGACAUAAGAAUGAGAAUUUGGGCUUCAACCUAUGAAGCACGGAUACUCCUUGAAUUAGGCGUGUCCUGAUGUCGGACACGCGGCAUGGCACCGACACGUGUAAUUACACCGAAUUAUGUGAUUUUUUUCCUUCAAAUUAUUGGUGAU